Molecule: long non-coding RNA, 2174 nt
Filed under: Lytechinus variegatus (green sea urchin)
Lineage: Eukaryota; Metazoa; Echinodermata; Echinoidea; Temnopleuroida; Toxopneustidae
Description: uncharacterized LOC121410474, transcript variant X2
Source: RNAcentral
CUUGUGCCUUGUUUUAAUGUGGCAGACGAUCUUUUCAUAUUCAUUCAUACACAUGAAUUACAGUUAAGAUAAAAAACAACGAUGGAUUAUUUAAAACUUUGCCUAUUCAACAGAGCACUAUCUAUUACAGUAAUAGGCUAAUGGGCCUGGUCUUCUGCACAGCCUCCUGUGCACCCUUUUUCGGCGUCUGGAAUGUCGUUUGAAUUUUUACAAAGGCUCUGUCCCGAGAGUGUAUCUGUGGAUUUCUGUUCCACAGGCUGGUUGGCGGAGAGUCCACUAUUUUUAAUACGGGCAUGGCAUUCGAAGUUGACCCCCUGACCGCCAUAUUUCUAGCCGUUUUCAUGGCCAUCUGUAUCGAAAACGAGUUUAGGCAAUGCAGCGUUCUGAUUAGUCAAGAGUGCCGCAGUGCCUGAUAAGAAAAAUUAUAUCCUAUUAAACGCCAUCACGGAGAUCAAUAGUGCUUUGGUGUGCGGGGUAUGCCUUUUGUCACCUGUCAGAAAUUCUGUUAAACUAAUGCGGGUUCGAAUCUAAUGAUUCUUCAUUUUGUUUUUUCAAGGGAGGAGAGGAAUAUUUUUAUAUAUAUAUUUCCAGUUAAUUCCUCAAAAAUUAGAUAUAAUUUUGUUUGCUCUGCAUCUUAUCAGUUAUUUUUCUGCAAACCCAACAUCUCAAUCAACAUUUUUUUGGGUCACUUUGAGUAUUUUGUUAAAUAUUUGUGUAAUAUAAAUCAGAAGAAAAAUAACCAGAUCAUCACGAAAUACUAAGAAGUAUGAGUAGAAAGGGGAAAUGAAUAUGCAUAUGGCAAAAUAAGCAGGAAAGGGAGAGAAAAGACACAAAAAUUGGGGAAAAGGAGACAGGGUAGAAUACUAUUAGCUAAAUAGCUUAAGGUGGAGCUGAAUUGGAAAAUAAAGAAUGAAGAAAAGGGGGAAAAGUAAAUAAUAACAUUGCCAGGCUUUCAGGAAUAUAAGAAAAGAAGGGAAGAAUGGGAUGGCGUACGUAUAUAUGGAAUCUGUAUAAGCCUAAUACAGAUUAAUGCUAAAUUUUGUACCAAAAAUGGUGGCUAUCAAACUUUUUUUUCUUUUCUUAUUAUACAAUAUGAAAAAAAUCCCGCGAAUUUGAGGACCCAUGGAUGUUCCACAGGUCCCUCUUGUACAGUAUAUUACUAGCAUUAGCACCAGCUGCUUAAAGGUGCUUGGUGCUUUCAAGGAAUUAAUCCUGCUUGGUAUACAUUCACCUCACCUGGGUUGAGUGCAGCAAAUUGUGGUUCAACUUCUUGCUGAAGGAACUUGCACCAUGGCUGGGAUUCAAACUCAAGACCCUUUGUUUAAAAUGCGAGAGUCAGAGCCUUGAGACCUCAAUGUUCUUAAAGUAUGGAUGAUGUUUUUGUGUUAAUUGUCAUCUUUAUAUGGUAAAUGAAUCAUCUUAAUGAUUGUUUUUAAAAUAAAAAAUAGUAACGUAAUUUCUUUGCACUUGUUUUCUCGUGGAAAUUUAUCUUAUGAUUACUUAUGAAAACUAAUAAUGAACUGCUAUUCUCACAUUUGAUAUUAGAUACUGGUAGCUUUUGCUAUACAAUAAUGGCUUGCAUUCUCAUGAGAGUGAGAAAGAAGCAAAGAAUAUUUUCUGAAUCCUUAUUACUAGUUUAUUUGUAUCAUUUUCAGUUUUGUAUUACAAAACUGUUAAUUAGAAUAUUUAGGAAUAGAAAUCUCCAGAUCAGCUUUUCAUCUCUCUCUUUCUUGUAUAGUUUGUGUUGGAGAGGUUGUUUGCAUAUUCUUUUGUACACAGGAUGGGAUUCAUUUCCAUUCAUUUAUUUAAAACUUACAGAUUGACAUAUCAAAUAUCUAAUUGGAGAAGUAGAAGACCAGAUGAAAUACCAUUCCAUUUGUCCAAGAUACCUUGUAGCAUUGUCCAGACUGGGUUGGAUACCUUAUAGCUGAUUGGAUUCAUACUAGGAGAAUCAGAUCUGCCAAAAAUCUAUAGCGCCUCUGGAGGUAUACCGCAUCACGUUAGAUCUAAACAGUCUCGGCACAGAGGACAAAGCACAAGUCUGAGGUAUGUUGAAUUAAGACAUAAUUAUAAACAGAGAAAUACAUAAGAAAAUUGAUUGAAGAAAACAUGAAAGAAGGAGUAAAACAUAGAAAUACAUGAGAAAUUAUAGAAAAGAAAACGGAAGAAGGAGA